GUCAGGAUAGCUGAGCAGUAUAAUCCACUGCUUUCAGGCUGCAGUCUCCCCUGGAGGUGUGGGUUCGAAUCCUACUUCUGACG
This 83-nucleotide transfer RNA is filed under the name Lepisosteus oculatus (spotted gar). It matches the Rfam family "tRNA". From Rfam's summary of the family: Transfer RNA (tRNA) molecules are approximately 80 nucleotides in length. The record is from Rfam by way of RNAcentral. Lineage: Eukaryota; Metazoa; Chordata; Actinopteri; Semionotiformes; Lepisosteidae.